This is a non-coding RNA of Schistosoma curassoni, 45 nucleotides long. Lineage: Eukaryota; Metazoa; Platyhelminthes; Trematoda; Strigeidida; Schistosomatidae. The record is from Rfam.
AUCCAACUGAUGAGUCCUAAAUAGGACGAAACUCUCGUCCUAUAU